This is a long non-coding RNA of Canis lupus familiaris (dog), 3001 nucleotides long. RefSeq lists it as uncharacterized. Lineage: Eukaryota; Metazoa; Chordata; Mammalia; Carnivora; Canidae. The record is from RefSeq and is a predicted model, not a curated record. The transcript has 4 exons.
UCAUGAAUAAAAUAAAUUUAAAAACCUUUAAAAAAAAAGGUUUUUUCUGCACAACUACGGGCAGAGGGGAGCGGUGGCAGGGGGGAAUGCCAUCCACUUUGAAGUCAAUGCCAGUGGUGCCCCCUGGACUUGAGCACAAGCAGUUACACCAUAAUGUCAUGUGACAAGCUGUGGUCCCUAACCUGGGCCUAAUUUCCCCCAUCGAUCAUUUUCCUCCUACCGUACCUGAGGUCUGUCAUCAAUGACCAAUGUACGAAAAGCCCAAUGGAAUCAAGUGUUUUUGUUCAGCUGUUCAAGUUAAGUUCACUGAAAUUACAUGAUGAACCUGGGCUUUCAGAAGAAUUCUGGGCAAAAGGAAAUUAGGAAGAAGAAAGCCUAUAUGCACAUAUGACUCAUGUUGGAGGCAUGUUGGAGGGCUGUCUAAUCUCUUCCCACUCAUCACUGUUAGCAACGUCAUGCUCGUUUAGCUGGGCACAUAUGGUUUUCUGGUCAUGUGGCCCAUUGCUGGGAAGAGCUGUGGAUGCUGCUACUCUAGGGCUUCAGUGCGAGUGAGGCAUGUUCCACAGAAUUCACCAGAAGCUUGAGACUGACUCACCCCUUACAGCCUGAGAAGUCUAGCGCAAGAAAACAAAAGAUCUCUCCAGGCCUCCCCCAGGGACUCCAAGGCAGCCCAGAUAUUACCAUGGUCCCUGAAGAAUGACUUGGACACAGCUCUACCUGGGGCUCCAGGACAGGAGUCUGACACAGUGCUCCCGGGCUGUAGGCAGCAGAAUGACAACAUGAGUUCCCUGCUUGCUUCUUGUCAGUUCCAGUAACCACAGCUUGUGAGCAUCCUUCCCCAAGUCAACCAAAGGUUUUCACAUAUCCUUGAUGAAAAUGAUGACUAUUCCAGCAGAAAUGCUAAUGGAUAGAAAUGAUUAGAACUCACUUUUGUGACGUCCAAUGCAGGCACCUGAAGCCCACAGCAGAAACAGCAAUUUUGAAAGACAAAAAAUGCUAAUGGAUAGAAAUGAUUAGAACUCACUUUUGUGACGUCCAAUGCAGGCACCUGAAGCCCACAGCAGAAACAGCAAUUUUGAAAGACAAAUAAUUUUGACUUAAAAUGUCUGGAUUCUGCCAAGAGAAAAGGUCCUUAAAAAUUAAGAGUCAGGGCCCCAAGACAGUAUGGUGGAGAAUGAUCUAACUCUAGGGCACAUCAGAAUCGCCUAGAGUACCUAUGAAAACACAGGUUGCUGGCAACCACCCUGUGUUACUGAUUCCGUAGGUCCGGGAUGAGUAGUAUCUGUACUGUUAGGACCCUCCUGGGUGACAUUGUUGCUGCUGCUCCAGGGAUCACACUUUGAAAUCCAUCUUGACAGUGAACUGGAAAGAAGAUGAUCCAGGUUCAGGUCUAGGAGAAACUAAGUGACCCCCACCUGGGCUGGGAAGAAAGGUGGGGAUGAACUAGAAGGGUCACACCUGGGCAAUAGCAGGGCUUGCUGAGAAGAGGGACUGGACUCAGGGGGUACUUUGGGCAAAGUGGAGUCAACACUGAGAAACUUUUCAUCAUCAUCCACCAAAAGCAUCAGGGGGGCUAGGAGAGAGCUAAGCCAAUGUCUGCAGAUCACCUGCUACCAUUUGAGCAAGCACUGCACAUCACUUGUGCAAAGGAUCCCGUUAACUGUUCUUCCCAUUGCUGCCCAGUUAGGACCCUCUACUGACUGCUACAUGCAUGACACCUUAAGACAGUCUGCUUUUCCCUGGACCAUCUGUAUUAGUUUUCUAGAGAAACCCUAAUCUAUAGAGACCCUAAUCUCUGCCUUCAUCUUUUGCAUGUCCUUUCCUCUUCUUGUAAGGACACCAGCCAUUAGAUUUAGGACUCAUCUAAUCCAGUAUGACUUCAUAUUAAUGUAAUUAAUUAUACCUGUCAGGAUUAUUUCCGAAGAGGAUCCCACUCCAAGUUUCCAGGUAUACAUCAAUUUGGGGGGACACUAUUCAAUCCACUACUGAACUGAAUCCAAUCAUUGAACUUCCCUUACCCCCUCUCCUUUUCAAAAGCUCAGGACACUCAUUGGUCCCUUGAAAUAGAAGGUGGGAUUUUUGACAAAUAGAAGACAGGCUCCAGAGAAGUGAUCCAGUUGCAGAAAAAUCCCCUAAACCUGCACUUUGGUGGGAGUGGUCAGUAAUAAAUCUCACUCAUUAUGAUAAUGUUGAUAGGUUAUUAUGAGGAAGGCAAGAUGCAAUGGGAACCCAGAAGGCAGGACCUGAACACAGACUUGAAUGUGAGGCAUGGUUUCCUAACAGUUAAAAGGUCUCAGGUGAGAUCUGAAGAAUGAGCAGAAAAUACUCAGCUGAAGAUCUGGGUGAGAAAAGAGACACCAGGGAAGAGUGUUCCAGUGGGGGAGACACCUGGACAAAGACCCAGAAAAAAACAACUGUAGCAGCAUCCUUGUGCUCAGAUGUGGAAGUCCCAUGUUGAAGAGAGCAGAAAAAAACAACCCACCUGGGUGUCUGGAUGACUUCUUGAGGCAGAGAGUACUCUACUCACCCUAAACAGCCCACCCAUCUCUGGACUGUUAGAUGAGGUAGAUGGAAAUUUCUAUAACCUUGGAGCCACUAUAAUGACUCCAGGAAUCAUCCCCAUGUGGACCCUACUGAUAUAUAUUACAUCUGGUAUAGAUGCAGGUUUAUGUGCUCAUCCAGAAAAUAUAUCAUCCCCAUGUGGACCCUACUGAUAUAUAUUACAUCUGGUAUAGAUGCAGGCUUAUGUGCUCAUCCAGAAAAUAUAUCAAGCAUCUACUAGAUGCCACACACUACGGAUUUGGUGGUAUCGUUAUUUCUGAAAUGGGCAGUAUAUUGUUCUUUGUUUACAGUCCCUCUUGUGACACUAGGAAAGUGGGUUCAAUGUUAAGUCUUUUCAGCUCCAUACUGGGCCUUAGGACACUGGUUGUCUGCUCUAUGGCAGCUUCUUCAUCCCUAGGCUGCCCCCUUCAAUCCCCAGGAUAACUUCAUGGAACAGUUA